CCUACGGGUGGCAGCAGUGGGGAAUAUUGGACAAUGGGCGAAAGCCUGAUCCAGCCAUGCCGCGUGUGUGAAGAAGGCCUUCGGGUUGUAAAGCACUUUCAGUGGGGAAGAAAGCCUUGGGGCUAAUACCCUCGAGGAAGGACAUCACCCACAGAAGAAGCACCGGCUAACUCCGUGCCAGCAGCCGCGGUAAUACGGAGGGUGCGAGCGUUAAUCGGAAUUACUGGGCGUAAAGCGCGCGUAGGCGGUCUGAUAAGCCGGUUGUGAAAGCCCCGGGCUCAACCUGGGAACGGCAUCCGGAACUGUCAGGCUAGAGUGCAGGAGAGGAAGGUAGAAUUCCCGGUGUAGCGGUGAAAUGCGUAGAGAUCGGGAGGAAUACCAGGGGCGAAGGCGGCCUUCUGGACUGACACUGACGCUGAGGUGCGAAAGCGUGGGUAGCAAACAGGAUUAGAUACCCGGGUAGUC
RNAcentral lists this ribosomal RNA (465 nucleotides) under Vreelandella stevensii. Its description in RNAcentral is "partial 16S ribosomal RNA". It matches the Rfam family "Bacterial small subunit ribosomal RNA", at positions 338 to 795 of the family's 1533-position model. The record is from RNAcentral. Lineage: Bacteria; Pseudomonadati; Pseudomonadota; Gammaproteobacteria; Oceanospirillales; Halomonadaceae.